CCGGCUUCGGGUGUUGCCGACUUUCGUGACUUGACGGGCGGGGUGUACAAGGCCCGGGAACGUAUUCACCGCAGCGUGGCUGAUCUGCGAUUACUAGCGACUCCGACUUCAGGGGGUCGAGUUGCAAACCCCAAUCCGAACAGAGACCGGCUUGUAGGGAUUCGCUCCACCUCGCGGGCUCGCAGCCCUUUGUACCGUCCAUUGUAGCAUGUGUGAAGCCCAAGACAUAAGGGGCAUGAUGAUUUGACGUCAUCCCCACCUUCCUCCGGGUUGACCCCGGCAGUCUCCUAUGAGUGCCCACCAUGACGGGCUGGAAACAUAAGAGGAGGGGUGCGCUCGUGGCGGGACUUAACCCAAUAUCUCACGACGCGAGCUGACGACAACCAUGCACCACCUGUACACCAGUCCCAACAAGAAACCAUCUCUGGCCGAUUCCGGUGAAGGUCAAGGCAUGGUAAGGUGGUUCUCGUUGCUUCGAAUAAAUCAACAGGCUCCGCCCCUGGUGUGGGCCCCCCCCAAUUAUUUUUUGUUUUAUCCUUGCGGCCGACCUCCCCAGGCGGGGGUUUUCUGUUUUAGCUGCUGUGCGGAACUGCUGGAAUGAAACCCACUAGUAGUGACCAAUGAUUGCGGGAAGGACUAG
RNAcentral lists this ribosomal RNA (640 nucleotides) under endophytic bacterium. RNAcentral's name for it is "partial 16S ribosomal RNA". The record is from RNAcentral.